Molecule: ribosomal RNA, 733 nt
Filed under: Chytridiomycota sp. LLME1_1 PML-2011i
Lineage: Eukaryota; Fungi; Chytridiomycota
Description: eukaryotic LSU rRNA
Rfam family: Eukaryotic large subunit ribosomal RNA
Source: RNAcentral
GCUCAAAUUUGAAAUCUCCUUCGGGCGAAUUGUAGUUUAGAGAAGCGUUUUCUGUUGGACGGUAGGUACAAGUUCUUUGGAACAAGACAUCAUAGAGGGUGAAAAUCCCGUCUUUGACCUAUUGAAAGGCUUUGUGAUACGUUUUCCAAGAGUCGGUUUGUUUGGGAAUGCAGACCAAAAUGGGUGGUAAAUACCAUCUAAAGCUAAAUAUUGGCGAGAGACCGAUAGCGAACAAGUACCGUGAGGGAAAGAUGAAAAGAACUUUGAAAAGAGAGUUAAACAGUUCGUGAAAUUGUCAAAAGGGAAACGUUUGGAACCAGUAUUGCUUGUAAGAAUUCAGCUUUUAUUUAUAAGGGUGUAUUUUUUUACGGCGAGUCAACAUCAGUUUGGCUUGGAGCAAAAAGCCAUGGAAAGGUAGCCUUCGGGUGUUAUAGUCCAUGGUCAUACUCUAGGCUAGACUGAGGACUGCAGCGUUUUUGGCAUUUGCACACCAACGCUUAGGACGUUGACGAAAUGGUUUUAAGCGACCCGUCUUGAAACACGGACCAAGGAGUCUAACAUAUAUGCGAGUAUUUGGGUGGUAAACCCUUAUGCGUAAUGAAAGUAAAAAGGUGGGAUCCUUCAAGGUGCACCAUCGACCGCGCCAGAUUAUUACUAUCUCGGCGUGAGUAUGAGCAUACAUGCUGGGACCCGAAAGAUGGUGAACUAUGCCUGAAUAGGGUGAAGCCAGAGG